UCCCAGGGGGCAACUCCUGGGGGAAGUGGCGAAAGGGGCAGUAAGGCAUGGACAACCUGCCCCGAGGUCCGGGAUAGCCUUCCUAACGGAUGGGUAAUACCGGGAGUGGUAGCGAGGGGGCAUCCCUUUGCUAGCAAAGCUCAGGCGCCUCGGGAGGGGUUCAUGUGAUAUUAGCUUGUUGGUGGGGUAACGGCUCACCAAGGCCAAGAUGUCUAGCAGGUGUGAGAGCACGACCUGCGCCACUGGCACUGGGACACUGGCCAGACUCCUACGGGAGGCUGCAGUCGAGGAUCUUCGGCAAUGGGCGCAAGCCUGACCGAGCGACGCCGCGUGAGCGAUGAAGGCCUUCGGGUCGUAAAGCUCUGUCGAGGGGGAGAAGAGCCGCAAGGCUUGAUCGACCCCUGGAGGAAGCACGGGCUAAGUUCGUGCCAGCAGCCGCGGUAAGACGAACCGUGCGAACGUUAUUCGGAAUCACUGGGCUUAAAGGGUGCGUAGGCGGGCCGGAAAGUCAGG
RNAcentral lists this ribosomal RNA (513 nucleotides) under uncultured bacterium. Its description in RNAcentral is "bacterial SSU rRNA". It matches the Rfam family "Bacterial small subunit ribosomal RNA", at positions 70 to 592 of the family's 1533-position model. The record is from RNAcentral.